UGGUUGGUUGGUUAGUUGGUUGAUUAAUUGAUUGAUUCUUAAGUGUUUUUUUUUUUCUUGCGUCCUUGUAUCACAGGAAGUUUGUGUACGAAAUGAUUCUCCUUGUGGAUCCACUAUUGGACCAAUACUCUCCGCCAAGCUUGGUCUUUUGACUUUAGAUAUCGGUGGCCCACAGCUCGCUAUGCAUUCCAUCCGUGAGAUGUGCUGCUCAUCCAUUAUUCACCAAGAGACUCAACUUUUCAAGAAUUACUUCGAGACACUUUCAUCAGUGCUAGAGUCCGUUGCAGGAGCUGACUAAAAUCAAACGAGUGUCACUGCUUGAGUUUAGUCACGGUUACUUUGACGACGUUAAAACGGUGUCGCAGCUCUCCCAGCAAUCUUGAUCUCUCUUUCUCUUUCUUUCUAUGUUUAUGUUUUUGUUCAUCGAUAGAAAGUUUAACAGUAAGAAGAGACAGGUUUUUUUGUGUCAAAUUAUCUCUCUCACGGUCUAGUAAUUUAUCCUUGAACAAACGAGAAAGACCAUGUUUGACCACAUUUCCAAACACCGAAGAAAGAGUUGAAAAUAAGACGCGCAGCGGGGUAUUUU
This is a long non-coding RNA of Orbicella faveolata, 586 nucleotides long. NCBI's taxonomy places the organism in Eukaryota, Metazoa, Cnidaria, Anthozoa, Scleractinia, Merulinidae. The record is from RefSeq and is a predicted model, not a curated record.